GUUGAUCCUGCCGGAGGUUACUGCUAUCGGUGUUUGACUAAGCCAUGCGAGUCAAAUGUUCUUCGUGAACAUGGCGUAAUGCUCAGUAACACGUGGAUAACCUGCCCUUAGGUCCGGCAUAAUCUCGGGAAACUGAGGAUAAUUCCGGAUAGCUCUUUGGCCGGAAAUGCAUUAAGAGUAAAAGUAUCUCGCCUAAGGAUGGGUCUGCGGCCUAUCAGGUAGUAGAGGGUGUAACGCACCUUCCAGCCGACAACGGGUACGGGUUGUGAGAGCAAGAGCCCGGAGAUGGAUUCUGAGACAUGAAUCCAGGCCCUACGGGGCGCAGCAGGCGCGAAAACUUUACAAUGCAGGAAACUGUGAUAAGGAAACACCGAGUGCCCGCAUCUAAUGCGGGCUGUCCGCGUACCCAAAUCGUACGCGUCAGCAAGGACCGGGUAAUACCGGUGCCAGCCGCCGCGGUAAUACCGGUGGUCCGAGUGGUAGCCGCUUUUAUUUGGUCUAAAGGGUCUGUAGCCGGUCCGGUCAGUCCAUUGGUAAAUCCGCGCGCUCAACACGCGGUCUUCAGUGGAUACUUCCGGACUUGGGACCGGGAGAGGUAAGAGGUACUAUAGGGGUAGGAGUGAAAUCCUGUAAUCCUUAUGAGACCACCGGUGGCGAAGGCGUCUUACCGGAACGGGUCCGACGGUGAGGGACGAAAGCUGGGGGCACGAACCGGAUUAGAUACCCGGGUAGUCCCAGCCGUAAACUAUGCCCGCUGGGUGUCAGGCAUGGCAUGACUGUGUCCGGUGCCGUAGAGAAGUCGUGAAGCGGGCCACCUGGGAAGUACGGCCGCAAGGCUGAAACUUAAAGGAAUUGGCGGGGGAGCACUACAACGGGUGGAGCCUGCGGUUUAAUUGGACUCAACGCCGGAAAACUCACCAGGGGAGACAGCAAUAUGUAGGUCAGGCUGAAGGUCUUACCCGAAUCGCUGAGAGGAGGUGCAUGGUCGUCGCCAGUUCGUACUGUGAAGCAUCCUGUUAAGUCAGGCAACGAGCGAGACCCCG
Molecule: ribosomal RNA, 1043 nt
Filed under: uncultured archaeon
Lineage: Archaea
Description: bacterial SSU rRNA
Rfam family: Archaeal small subunit ribosomal RNA
Source: RNAcentral